AUUUAGUAAAGCUUAUGUUGAAGCAUUUAACUGUUAAUUAAAAGAGAGAUCAAGUAAAUCUACUAAA
Molecule: transfer RNA, 67 nt
Filed under: Cerion incanum
Lineage: Eukaryota; Metazoa; Mollusca; Gastropoda; Stylommatophora; Cerionidae
Description: tRNA-Asn
Source: RNAcentral